This 74-nucleotide transfer RNA is filed under the name hydrothermal vent metagenome. Its description in RNAcentral is "tRNA-Arg-TCG". It matches the Rfam family "tRNA". From Rfam's summary of the family: Transfer RNA (tRNA) molecules are approximately 80 nucleotides in length. Their secondary structure includes four short double-helical elements and three loops (D, anti-codon, and T loops). The record is from RNAcentral.
GCGUUCGUAGCUCAGCUGGAUAGAGCGUCUGACUUCGGAUCAGAAGGCCAUGGGUUCGACUCCUAUCGAGCGCA